Molecule: ribosomal RNA, 250 nt
Filed under: uncultured bacterium
Lineage: Bacteria
Description: partial 16S ribosomal RNA
Rfam family: Bacterial small subunit ribosomal RNA
Source: RNAcentral
CACGUAGGGCGCGAGCGUUGUCCGGAAUUAUUGGGCGUAAAGAGCUCGUAGGCGGCCUGUUGCGUCCGCUGUGAAAGCCCGGGGCUUAACCCCGGGUCGGCAGUGGAUACGGGCAGGCUAGAGGUAGGUAGGGGAGAAUGGAAUUCCUGGUGUAGCGGUGGAAUGCGCAGAUAUCAGGAGGAACACCGGUGCGAAGGCGGUCUCUGGGCCGUAUGAUGCGUGAGGAGCGAAAGCGUGGGGAGCGAACAGG